This is a non-coding RNA of Saimiri boliviensis boliviensis (Bolivian squirrel monkey), 1322 nucleotides long. NCBI's taxonomy places the organism in Eukaryota, Metazoa, Chordata, Mammalia, Primates, Cebidae. The record is from RefSeq and is a predicted model, not a curated record.
GUUCCUGUUGUGUGCGUGCUAGUGAGCUACAUGACGGGCACGGAGACACAGGCACGGAUGCCACCCACACCACGUCUCCAGGCAAUCUGUUUCCAUUAGGUCACAAGCAUGAAGGUGAAAGAAAAGACGAUUAUUCUACGUGAACAGGUGAAAGAACCAUCUCCGACCCCAAGACUCGACUCCAGUUGUCUUAUGAAUCUGUACUGCUGUCAGUUUUCUUGUUCCCAGCUCCUUCAAGGGCACAUGGAAUGCAGCUGCCGAUGGAAUCGGUGAGAUGCCACCUGUGCCCAUCCCAGCUGCACUUGCUUCCUGGGGUCUGCAUCGCCGCAGCCUGACCUUGAGGGGUGGUGGGGCACCUGCUGUUUCCCAGAUACACCUGUCAUGUUUUCAUCUAACAACCAGGAGAACAAAAUACGACUCAAUGGAGAAAUGUAUUCUUAGUUAUCUGAUGAAGUUUUCUCCUUAAAUAUUUUGUUAUCCAUUUUUGGCAUUGGUAUGAAUUUGGGACCGUUGCCACCAGCUCUGAGGGAUUUCAAAUGUGCUUUUGGAGUUUGUGAGAACCAAGCCUCAGGGGAUGUGUGAGUCAGUUGAAGCACUGCGGUCUUGCUGGUCUCUCUCUGACAUUUCAUGUCUCUGGCAUAUCUGAAUUUAGGUUGGGAACUGGAGCUUUGGUACACUUAUAUCUAUUACUACCCUUUGUAAUCUGGCCAGUUCCAUACUCAUGGAGACAAUUCCCAGAUGGCUACAGCAUUUCAUUUAGAGUUGGGCUGUGGAAUUUGUUGAAGAAGGAAUGCAAAAGAGACACUUGUUUUAUUUAAGGUUUGAAUUUCUUCCAGUAAACGACUUGCUUAUUAGGCUAAAGAUUUUUGGGGGGAGUAGCUUACUUAUCUGGUAUUUAACAGUCAAAUCCUUGAAAUUUCUGCCUGUUGCUUCAUGUUUUCCCAUGGAUUUGGAAGAAGAGUUGUCCGGAGACUUCCAGGUUAGCUCCACGGACCUACAUUUUCACUCCAUUUAACAUUAUUGACUGGAUCGGGCCCAGAGAGCUGUGGAAGAGCUUAAUUCCUGAUCAGAAGACAGAAGCGGUUUAAUUAGAAUAAAGCAGCGACUACUAUGUAAUUAAAAAUUAGAUGAACCAUUGAAUGCUAAGCAGACUUUUAGAAGGUGAACUUAGGAUUUAAAACCUACCACUGCCUCUCGGUAUGGCAUGGUGGAGAUCUGCCCUACAGAGACCCCAGCACACUGGCAGCCCAGCUGUCUGAGGACUGUUUUGUAAUGGGGUAGUCACGCUGGCUUAAGGGGAGGAAUAAUAGAUUGGGAGUAGU